Molecule: ribosomal RNA, 475 nt
Filed under: uncultured organism
Description: partial 16S ribosomal RNA
Rfam family: Bacterial small subunit ribosomal RNA
Source: RNAcentral
CACUCCUACGGGAGGCAGCAGUGGGGAAUUUUGGACAAUGGGCGAAAGCCUGAUCCAGCCAUGCCGCGUGCAGGAUGAAGGCCUUCGGGUUGUAAACUGCUUUUGUACGGAACGAAACGGCCUUUUCUAAUAAAGAGGGCUAAUGACGGUACCGUAAGAAUAAGCACCGGCUAACUACGUGCCAGCAGCCGCGGUAAUACGUAGGGUGCAAGCGUUAAUCGGAAUUACUGGGCGUAAAGCGUGCGCAGGCGGUUAUGUAAGACAGUUGUGAAAUCCCCGGGCUCAACCUGGGAACUGCAUCUGUGACUGCAUAGCUAGAGUACGGUAGAGGGGGAUGGAAUUCCGCGUGUAGCAGUGAAAUGCGUAGAUAUGCGGAGGAACACCGAUGGCGAAGGCAAUCCCCUGGACCUGUACUGACGCUCAUGCACGAAAGCGUGGGGAGCAAACAGGAUUAGAUACCCUAGUAGUCCCAUGA